Hyla sarda is the source of this 481-nucleotide long non-coding RNA. RefSeq lists it as uncharacterized. The record is from RefSeq and is a predicted model, not a curated record. Lineage: Eukaryota; Metazoa; Chordata; Amphibia; Anura; Hylidae. The transcript has 4 exons.
CCUAUGACCAGAUGUCAGCAGAAUACAGACCACCAUAAAAAGCGCUGCUCCUGUGCUGAUGGAACUGCAGAGUGCUGCUGAGUCGCUUUCUCCAUUGAUUCCUGCCUCUCCGGCCAUAAUAUCUGACCAAACCUUGGACCGAGUCCUACAGUCCUGAACGAAACCUAAAAAAUGGAUCUUGGGUGUAUUCAGGAACUCUGCGAACAGAAUUUACGGUACUCCACAACCCCUCUGUUAUCCUCACCAGACUGAUUCCUGUACUGAAGUCACUUGUUACCUGUGAUCUCUGGGAUACAUAUACAUAAGAUGACAAAGCCCUUUGAAGGCCGCCAGAUUUAACCCUUGCUACAUGAUUGUCAAAUUCUCCACCACUACCGUAAUCUGCUGCACAGAUAAAAUCCGCAUCAUUUCUGCCUCAUGUGACUUGAGGCUUUGAGCGCCGUUCUGCAUAUGGAAUAACUAGUAUACAUUCUGCCCGCUG